This 304-nucleotide unclassified non-coding RNA is filed under the name Hevea brasiliensis (rubber tree). The record is from RNAcentral. Lineage: Eukaryota; Viridiplantae; Streptophyta; Magnoliopsida; Malpighiales; Euphorbiaceae.
CCAUCACAGAAUCUUGUGCUUGCAUUAUGAAAUACAGCAGCACUGUCAACUUGACGCAGAAAAACUUCUGCAACUUCAUGAUCUUCUGCUAUGAUACAAUCAGUAUGUGCACUUCCAUGUUGAUGUAUAUGAUCAAUGGCAGCAUACACAUCAUCAACAAUUUCUAUAGUGCAAGUCAUAGAAUUGUACUCAUGAUGAAAUGAAUGCGCUUCUGGAAGGUUCAGUUCCUUGCUUGCCCUUGGUCCCCCAUACAAAUUAACACCUGCAGUGCGAAGAUCAACUGUCAGUUCAUUAAGACCACCAG